GCCUUGUGGCUCAGGCAGUAGAGCCUGAGACUCUUAAUAUUAGGAUCAUGGGUUGAAGCCCCAUGUUGGGCA
Non-coding RNA from Podarcis lilfordi (Lilford's wall lizard), 72 nucleotides. The record is from the annotation of a GenBank genome assembly. NCBI's taxonomy places the organism in Eukaryota, Metazoa, Chordata, Lepidosauria, Squamata, Lacertidae.